UACGGAGGGUGCAAGCGUUAAUCGGAAUUACUGGGCGUAAAGCGCGCGUAGGCGGCUUGAUCAGUCGGGUGUGAAAGCCCCGGGCUUAACCUGGGAACUGAAUUCGAUACUGUCAAGCUAGAGUAUGAAAGAGGGAGGUAGAAUUCCAUGUGUAGCGGUGAAAUGCGUAGAUAUGUGGAGGAAUACCAGUGGCGAAGGCGGCCUCCUGGUUCAAUACUGACGCUGAGGUGCGAAAGCGUGGGGAGCAAACAGG
RNAcentral lists this ribosomal RNA (253 nucleotides) under uncultured bacterium. RNAcentral's name for it is "partial 16S ribosomal RNA". It matches the Rfam family "Bacterial small subunit ribosomal RNA", at positions 524 to 776 of the family's 1533-position model. The record is from RNAcentral.